Molecule: ribosomal RNA, 497 nt
Filed under: uncultured bacterium
Lineage: Bacteria
Description: partial 16S ribosomal RNA
Rfam family: Bacterial small subunit ribosomal RNA
Source: RNAcentral
GAUGAACGCUGGCGGCGUGCCUAAUACAUGCAAGUCGAGCGAACAGAUGAGGAGCUUGCUCCUCUGACGUUAGCGGCGGACGGGUGAGUAACACGUGGAUAACCUACCUAUAAGACUGGGAUAACUUCGGGAAACCGGAGCUAAUACCGGAUAAUAUAUUGAACCGCAUGGUUCAAUAGUGAAAGACGGUUUUGCUGUCGCUUAUAGAUGGAUCCGCGCCGCAUUAGCUAGUUGGUAAGGUAACGGCUUACCAAGGCAAGGAUGCGUAGCCGACCCGAGCGGGUGGAUGGCCACAUUGGAACUGAGACACGGCCCAGACUCCGACAGUGGGCCACAGUCGGGACUCCUCCGCAAUGGAGCAGUGCCUGACAGUGCAACGUCGCGUGAGUGAUGAAGGUCUUCUGAUCGUAAAGCUCUGUUAUUAGUAAAGAACAAAUGUGUAAGUAACUAUGAACGUCUUGACGGUACCUAAUCAGAAAGCCACGGCUAACUACGUG